AAAGCUCUUUUGUCAGGGAAGAAACGGCUGUGGCUAAUAUCCAUGGCUAAUGACGGUACCUGAAGAAUAAGCACCGGCUAACUACGUGCCAGCAGCCGCGGUAAUACGUAGGGUGCAAGCGUUAAUCGGAAUUACUGGGCGUAAAGCGUGAGCAGGCGGUUUUGUAAGUCUGACGUGAAAUCCCCGGGCUCAACCUGGGAAUUGCGUUGGAGACUGCAAGGCUGGAGUCUGGCAGAGGGGGGUAGAAUUCCACGUGUAGCAGUGAAAUGCGUAGAGAUGUGGAGGAACACCGAUGGCGAAGGCAGCCCCCUGGGUCAAGACUGACGCUCAUGCACGAAAGCGUGGGGAGCAAACAGGAUUAGAUACCCUGGUAGUCCACGCCCUAAACGAUGUCUACUAGUUGUCGGGUUUUAAUUAACUUGGUAACGCAGCUAACGCGUGAAGUAGACCGCCUGGGGAGUACGGUCGCAAGAUUAAAACUCAAAGGAAUUGACGGGGACCCGCACAAGCGGUGGAUGAUGUGGAUUAAUUCGAUGCAACGCGAAAAACCUUACCUACCCUUGACAUGUCAGGAACCUCCGAGAGAUCGGGGGGUGCCCGAAAGGGAGCCUGAACACAGG
This 620-nucleotide ribosomal RNA is filed under the name uncultured bacterium. Its description in RNAcentral is "bacterial SSU rRNA". It matches the Rfam family "Bacterial small subunit ribosomal RNA", at positions 427 to 1038 of the family's 1533-position model. The record is from RNAcentral.